Long non-coding RNA from Medicago truncatula (barrel medic), 693 nucleotides. RefSeq lists it as uncharacterized. Lineage: Eukaryota; Viridiplantae; Streptophyta; Magnoliopsida; Fabales; Fabaceae. The record is from RefSeq and is a predicted model, not a curated record. The transcript is spliced from 2 exons.
UUCUCUGUUCCUUGCGGUGCGUUCUCUUUCCAUACAAACCUAUUCUCUCUUCUCUCACAUCUCCUGCAAUCGGCGAGUUCCCUGUUCUUUGCGCUGCCACCUUAAUCUGAGUUGUCACUACAACGUCCCAUUUCAAUCGAACCUCUCUCUUAUCUCCAUUUCUCAGAUCGUGCUCCUCAAAUUUUUCACCAUUGAUUGAAGCAAAUUGAUAUAGUGAAAAAAAUGUCUACAAACUCAUGCAGCAGGUUCUUGUACUGUUGGGACUGAUAUGCAUAUGCGCCUGCUAGGAGUUUUUUUGCCGUCUGAUUUUGCUACUGCAGUCAUGCUGCAAGUUUUUUUGUCCUGCUGUGACUGAUAUGCGCAUGCUGAUUUAGGUUGUCAGGGUGUUUUUGCGGCUAGAUUUUUUAUUGGGAUGUCUUCGGACUUGAGGUGGUGGUAUGCUUCGUUAUAAAUGUAUAUCUCAGCCUCAAUGUCUGAUGCCUUGUUCGAGUUUUUGGUGGUUUUUUGUUUCUCUUUGGUGGAGGUGUUACGCAUAUCGGCGGCACCACUGUUAUAUCUUAUCUUUUCCAUUGCCGCUCUUUUGUGCACCUUGCAUAGACUCGUCGAAAUGGAAAUGUAUUGGUGAACAUCAUAGUAUUUGUAUCAAAAUGGAAAUGUAUUGUAUUAUGAUAAUGGCAAUGAUUGCUUUCGAAA